RNAcentral lists this unclassified non-coding RNA (320 nucleotides) under plant metagenome. Its description in RNAcentral is "partial contains 5.8S ribosomal RNA, internal transcribed spacer 2, and large subunit ribosomal RNA". The stretch from base 1 to 105 matches the Rfam family "5.8S ribosomal RNA", at positions 50 to 154 of the family's 154-position model. The record is from RNAcentral.
GAAAUGCGAUAAGUAAUGUGAAUUGCAGAAUUCAGUGAAUCAUCGAAUCUUUGAACGCACAUUGCGCCCGCCAGUAUUCUGGCGGGCAUGCCUGUUCGAGCGUCAUUACAACCCUCAGGCCCCCGGGCCUGGCGUUGGGGAUCGGCGGAAGCCCCCUGCGGGCACAACGCCGUCCCCCAAAUACAGUGGCGGUCCCGCCGCAGCCUCCAUUGCGUAGUAGCUAACACCUCGCAACUGGAGAGCGGCGCGGCCACGCCGUAAAACACCCAACUUCUGAAUGUUGACCUCGAAUCAGGUAGGAAUACCCGCUGAACUUAAGC